Molecule: transfer RNA, 73 nt
Filed under: Ailuropoda melanoleuca (giant panda)
Lineage: Eukaryota; Metazoa; Chordata; Mammalia; Carnivora; Ursidae
Rfam family: tRNA
About the family: Transfer RNA (tRNA) molecules are approximately 80 nucleotides in length. Their secondary structure includes four short double-helical elements and three loops (D, anti-codon, and T loops).
Source: Rfam by way of RNAcentral
GCCUGGCUGGCUCAGUCAGUAGAGCACGCGACUCUUGAUCCUGGGCUUGUGAGUUCCAGCCCCACGGUGGGCU